RNAcentral lists this ribosomal RNA (461 nucleotides) under uncultured bacterium. RNAcentral's name for it is "partial 16S ribosomal RNA". It matches the Rfam family "Bacterial small subunit ribosomal RNA", at positions 338 to 795 of the family's 1533-position model. The record is from RNAcentral.
CCUACGGGGGGCUGCAGUGAGGAAUAUUGGUCAAUGGGCUUACGCCUGAACCAGCCAAGUCGCGUGAGGGAAGACUGCCCUAUGGUUUGUAAACCUCUUUUGUCAGGGAGCAACGCCGGCUACGUGUAGCCGGACUGAGAGUACCUGAAGAAAAAGCAUCGGCUAACUCCGUGCCAGCAGCCGCGGUAAUACGGAGGAUGCGAGCGUUAUCCGGAUUUAUUGGGUUUAAAGGGUGCGUAGGCGGGAUGCCAAGUCAGCGGUAAAAUCCCCGCGCUCAACGUGGGAACUGCCUUUGAAAGUGGCAAACUGGAGUGUGUGAGAGGAUAGUGGAAUUCCAGGUGUAGGAGUGAAAUGCGUAGAUAUCGGGAGGAACAUCAGUGGCGAAGGCGACUAUCUGGCACAUAACUGACGCUGAGGAGCGAAAGCGUGGGUAGCAAACAGGAUUAGAUACCCCUGUAGUC